RNAcentral lists this ribosomal RNA (477 nucleotides) under uncultured bacterium. RNAcentral describes it as "partial 16S ribosomal RNA". It matches the Rfam family "Bacterial small subunit ribosomal RNA", at positions 30 to 507 of the family's 1533-position model. The record is from RNAcentral.
AUUGAACGCUGGCGGCAUGCCUUACACAUGCAAGUCGAACGGUAACAGGUUAAGCUGACGAGUGGCGAACGGGUGAGUAAUGUAUCGGAACGUGCCCAGUCGUGGGGGAUAACUGCUCGAAAGAGCAGCUAAUACCGCAUACGACCUGAGGGUGAAAGCGGGGGAUCGCAAGACCUCGCGCGAUUGGAGCGGCCGAUAUCAGAUUAGGUAGUUGGUGAGGUAAAGGCUCACCAAGCCGACGAUCUGUAGCUGGUCUGAGAGGACGACCAGCCACACUGGGACUGAGACACGGCCCAGACUCCUACGGGAGGCAGCAGUGGGGAAUUUUGGACAAUGGGCGCAAGCCUGAUCCAGCCAUGCCGCGUGCGAGAAGAAGGCCUUCGGGUUGUAAACCGCUUUUGUCAGGGAAGAAAAGGUUCUGGCUAAUACCUGGGACUCAUGACGGUACCUGAAGAAUAAGCACCGGCUAACUACGUG